Molecule: unclassified non-coding RNA, 449 nt
Filed under: Hevea brasiliensis (rubber tree)
Lineage: Eukaryota; Viridiplantae; Streptophyta; Magnoliopsida; Malpighiales; Euphorbiaceae
Source: RNAcentral
GAAUAAUAAAAGGUGACACUAAUAAUCAACUGAAAUGAGACUGUUGCAUCUAGACACAUUAAACAAAAUAUGGGCAAUGUUUGGGCAUUAAACAAAAUAUGGACGAUGUUUGGGCUCUAGAUUCACAGAUUUGACACAGUUAUGUUGGAUGCAUCACAGAAUGCCAUGUUACUGACAUAAAAUUUCUCACGGUGAAAGCAUUUAUGAAUGUACAAACUAUAACAUUUUCCUUUCCAGAUAAAAAUUUUCAGUGAUAGCACAUUCACUAUACCAAGAGAAGACAUGCAAUUGGCACAAUAUUUAGUAGAGAUAAUUCAAUAGAACAAUUUGACUUGGUGCAUAAGCACCAUACAAUGUUAAAUGAAAAAUAUCAUGUUAUUCUAAAUUACAUCAAAUGAGCAAUUUGGCUUAGCGCAUGAGCAACAUGCAACUUAAAUAAAAAAAAUAUC